This 328-nucleotide unclassified non-coding RNA is filed under the name Hevea brasiliensis (rubber tree). Lineage: Eukaryota; Viridiplantae; Streptophyta; Magnoliopsida; Malpighiales; Euphorbiaceae. The record is from RNAcentral.
ACUUAGCCCUAGGCCACAUGAUUCCCCUUGUUGACAUGGCUAGACUGUUGGCACAACAUGGUGUUACAGUUACCAUAAUCACCACUCCCUUCAAUGCUGCUCGGUUCGAGAUGGUUAUUGAAAGAGCAGUGGAAUCCGGGUUUAAAAUCCAACUCCUAAAAGUUCCAUUCCCUUCUGAAGCGGUAGGCUUGCCUCCAGGGUGUGAAAGCAUGGACACCCUCCCUUCGCGUGACUUGUUCAAAAAUCUACUAAUUGGCAUUAAUAUGCUUCAAGCACCAGUGGAACAAAUGCUUAGUAAGUUGCUGCCUCCUCCAAGUUGCAUAAUUUC